Molecule: long non-coding RNA, 1908 nt
Organism: Scatophagus argus
Lineage: Eukaryota; Metazoa; Chordata; Actinopteri; Scatophagidae
Exons: 3
Source: RefSeq, a predicted model, not a curated record
UUGGUGCUGGUGAUGUAUAUUGUAUAGUGUUUUAAUGCAAAAGUUGUACUUGACUACCUGCAAAAUCAUCUUUAAAUUAUCAAGAAAAUCACCACAUGUAUACAAGUCAGUAGGUUUAUUUCUUUGAAAUGUUUGCUCACAAUUCCUUGGCAAUUCACAACUUCUCUAAAGAGGUAGACCAACUAAAAGUACAUCACCCCUACACUAGACAUCUCGGACAUCUCUUACUAGAAUUACUCAUGAAUGUAGUUGAAGUUGUAUUUGUGAGGGCCUUCUAGAUUCUGAAGAGAAUGAUUGAAAGUGACUGCACUGCCAUCACCCUGUCUCACCUACUAGUCUCCCCACCCUGUCCCUCGCAAUCUCCUACCCACCUACUUUUACCCAGACACCCCACGGCAACACUUGGGAGGCUAUUUUUUGCCACACUUCACUAAAUAAGGCUGUGGAGCACAACUACGAGGGUGGGCUAGUGGAGGGGUGUGUGUCUCUGGUUCUUACCUUGGUAUAAAAACCCUGGGACGAUGGGGGUUUCCUCUGUUGAACCGCUCGCUUGAUCCCCCCCUCGCCGUGUUCUCCUUCUUGCUUGCCUUCGUCUACUUUUGGCACUUCAUUAAAAAAACUGAAAGAACAAAUAUCACCACGCAAGCUGCCUAUGAGAAUAAUCAAUUGUUUUUUUUUUUUUUGUUUGUUUUGUUUUUUUUUUAUCCAAGAACCUUCUCUGUUUUUGUCAGACUGUCAACAUUUCUAAUUGCUCUGUUUUUUUGAAGUUCUUUCAUUUUUUUGGAAUUGCUUGCACUGACCACCGGAUGACACAUUAGGGAAGUGAAUGAAUGAAAUACGGGGCAAAAGGACGAGAAAGACUCCCAGGGAGGAGAGACUCCGCCUGCAACGACUGCUUCACCCUGCAUGGGCCAACAUCCCUAUCUGGAUCACCUUUACUGUGGUCCCAGAUUGUCUCUUCCUCCUUCUCCUCUCUGUGACUUGUGGACAAGACUCACCCCUAAAAUGCUUUGCUAAAGCUGGUAAAAUGGAACCAAAUCAACUGUUCAAUGGAUUUGGUCCCCUUCAACCAGCUGUAGCUGUGCAUUGAUCACUCCAAACACACACACACACACACACACACAUGCGGUGGGACAAAGAAAGGGAUAAAGAAGCAGUGGAAGACUUGUCGUAAUUAAGUAGAAUUCAGUUUAAAAUUUUAAAAUUGAAGUUAGAGCUUCUCCACAGAAACGGUUGGACAGACACAGCAUGUACCAUUCACAGCAGCUUUAUCUCUGUCACAGAGAUUACCCAAAACAUAUCGAAGUCAUUUGCUAAAUGUGUGUAAAAAAGUUAGAUAACUAAUUAUAAACACAAUAUCUUGGUGGAUUUGUUCGAUAAAAUUAUAAUUGCAUUGUCCUUUAGAAACAUUACCACUGUUGCUUAUUUGAAACACGUUUGGUCCUUGAUUUGUUCCUAUAUGUUGUUUGCAAAAGGACGGUAUGGUUGAAGAGGUAUUGAGUGUAAGAAGAGAUGCUGUGUGAGAGAAGUCCUGGUGUGGAUGUUUGCACACACAUAUGUACACGGUUACUGUGGGGGACAGGAACCAAAGGACGAAACAUUCCAAUGCUACUGACCACAAAAUACCCCCAGAGGUCCUGUGUCCGUUCCCCUGGCAGGUCAGGUGGGGCUUUGGUCUUUUGGUCUUCUUUGGUUUCCGUUGUUUAGGUGGAUGAUGUAUGUCAAAGAACACCCACAUGAUUGCCAGAACUCAAGGUUUCCCCUGCAGAACAUUGCAUUAUAAACAUACGAUUCAUUUCACCUGUCAGUGGUGUUAAUGUUGUGGCUGACUGCUGUAUGUGUAUCACUGACUUCUAAUGCAUGUCUGAUCAAUAAAGCUUUGUCCUGAAGUUCACAUAAACUGCUGAA